This 577-nucleotide ribosomal RNA is filed under the name uncultured eukaryote. RNAcentral's name for it is "SSU rRNA". It matches the Rfam family "Eukaryotic small subunit ribosomal RNA", at positions 637 to 1219 of the family's 1831-position model. The record is from RNAcentral.
GAGUUCAGAGUGAGCUCAGCUGGUCGGCCUAAUGGGUCAGAACUGGUUGACUCUCUCUUGUUUGUGGGUCUCGCCCGGAGUUAACUCUUCGGAUGUGGAUCCCACAUCGUUUACCUUGAAAAAAUUAGAGUGUUCAAAGCAGGCGUUUGCUUGAAUAUAUUAGCAUGGAAUAAUGGAAUAGGACGCUGGUUCUAUUUUGUUGGUUUUGAGAACCAGAGUAAUGAUUAAUAGGGACAGUUGGGGGCAUUCAUAUUUCAUUGUCAGAGGUGAAAUUCUUGGAUUUAUGAAAGAUGAACUUCUACGAAAGCAUUUGCCAAGGAUGUUUUCAUUAAUCAAGAACGAAAGUUAGGGGAUCGAAGACGAUCAGAUACCGUCGUAGUCUUAACCAUAAACUAUGCCGACUAGGGAUUGGGCGUGGUUUGUUCAUUGACCCGCUCAGCACCUUACGAGAAAUCAAAGUCCUUUGCGUUCCGGGGGGAGUAUGGUCGCAAGGCUGAAACUUAAAGGAAUUGACGGAGGGGCACCACCAGGAGAGGAGCCUGCGGAUUAAUUUGACUCAACACGGAGAAAACUUACC